This 614-nucleotide ribosomal RNA is filed under the name uncultured bacterium. Its description in RNAcentral is "bacterial SSU rRNA". It matches the Rfam family "Bacterial small subunit ribosomal RNA", at positions 338 to 1413 of the family's 1533-position model. The record is from RNAcentral.
CCUACGGGAGGCAGCAGUAGGGAAUAUUGGACAAUGGGUGCGAGCCUGAUCCAGCCAUGCCGCGUGCAGGAAGAAGGCCUUCUGGGUUGUAAACUGCUUUUGCCGGGGGAUAAAAGACCCAUGCGUGGGGAAUUGAAGGUACCCGGUGAAUAAGCCACGGCUAACUACGUGCCAGCAGCCGCGGUAAUACGUAGGUGGCGAGCGUUGUCCGGAUUUAUUGGGUUUAAAGGGUGCGUAGGCGGCCCCGUAAGUCAGUGGUGAAAUACGGCAGCUCAACUGUCGAGGUGCCAUUGAUACUGCGGGGCUUGAGUACAGUCGAGGUAGGCGGAAUUGACGGUGUAGCGGUGAAAUGCUUAGAUAUCGUCAAGAACACCGAUAGCGAAGGCAGCUUGCUAGGCUGUAACUGACGCUGAGGCACGAAAGUGCGGGGAUCAAACAGGAUUAGAUACCCUGGUAGUCCGCACAGUAAACGAUGGUCACUCGGUGUUGGCGGUACACGGCCAGCGCCUUAGCGAAAGCGUUAAGUGACCCACCUGGGGAGUACGCCCGCAAGGGUGAAACGUCAAAGAGUAGUAGACGUGAGAGACGCGACGACGACGACGACGGAGGAGGAG